GGACUGAGGGCACCUGGCUCGUGACGUGUCUCACCCCCAUUGAUCGCAGGGCUAUUGGCUGAUCUAGUCGCUGCGGGUUCCCUGCUUCCUCCCUCACUGCUGCAUGUGCGUCACGUUCUGAAGCUCGGCCCUGGGUCAAAGGGCGAUGACACCUUCCCCCAUAGAAGACGACUGUUCUUCGGGCGAGCGGGCAGAAGAACAGCGAACCAAAGAUAACAGCUGGUGUGCAACCCUACCAGAACUUGGAGCGCAACCUGGUCGCGCUUAUAAGCUGUAAAAUCGCAGCA
RNAcentral lists this small RNA (287 nucleotides) under Macaca nemestrina (pig-tailed macaque). RNAcentral describes it as "7SK RNA (ENSMNEG00000002033.1)". The stretch from base 1 to 190 matches the Rfam family "7SK RNA". Rfam says of the family: 7SK was discovered as an abundant small nuclear RNA in the mid-70s but a possible function has only recently been suggested. Two independent studies have found that 7SK RNA binds the CDK9/cyclin T complex (known as elongation factor P-TEFb). The record is from Rfam by way of RNAcentral. Lineage: Eukaryota; Metazoa; Chordata; Mammalia; Primates; Cercopithecidae.